CCAGAGUUCUAUAACCAGAAAUCCUUUAACCAGAGGUCUUUAACCAGAAAUUCUUUAACCAGAGGUCUAUAACCAGAAAUUCUUUAAAAAGAGGUCUUUAACCAGAAAUUCUUUAACCAGAGGUCUAUAACCAGAAAUUCUUUAACCAGAAAUCCUUUAACCAGAGUUCUAUAACCAGAAAUCCUUUAACCAGAGGUCUAUAACCAGAAAUCCUUUAACUAAAGGUCUAUAACCAGAAAUCCUUUAACUAAAGGUCUAUAACCAGAAAUCCUUUAACCGGAGCUCCAUAACCAAAAAAUCCUUUAACCGGAGACCUUUAACCAGAGUACUUGAACUUGAAGCCCAAUAGAAUACAUUUGUCUGUUUCUUGUAUGAUCAGCAGGUGGCAGGCUACACCAUGCAAAAGCCUGAUUGUACCUUGUUUUAAAAUAAUUGUUUCCCAUAAGCAUUACUGUAUCAUUUAAACAUAAAAAAAAUGUUGCAGAAAUCAUACAACAUAAUUAUUAAUUAUGACUGUCAUUACAUAAUAUGUAGAAAGGAAGAGUAUGAAAU
This is a long non-coding RNA of Ictalurus punctatus (channel catfish), 552 nucleotides long. Lineage: Eukaryota; Metazoa; Chordata; Actinopteri; Siluriformes; Ictaluridae. The record is from Ensembl.